GACGAACGCUGGCGGCGUGCUUAACACAUGCAAGUCGAACGGAAAGGCCCUGCUUUUGUGGGGUGCUCGAGUGGCGAACGGGUGAGUAACACGUGAGUAACCUGCCCUUGACUUUGGGAUAACUUCAGGAAACUGGGGCUAAUACCGGAUAGGAGCUCCUGCUGCAUGGUGGGGGUUGGAAAGUUUCGGCUGUUGGGGAUGGACUCGCGGCUUAUCAGCUUGUUGGUGGAGUAGUCGCUUUCCAAGGGUUAGACGGAUAGCCGGCCUGAGAGGGUGACCGGCCACAAUGGGACUGAGAGACGGCGCAGACUCCUACGGGAGGCAGCAGUGGGGAAUAUUGCACAAUGGGCGGAAGCCUGAUGCAGCAACGCCGCGUGCGGGAUGACGGCCUUCGGGUUGUAAACCGCUUUCGCCUGUGACGAAGCGUGAGUGACGGUAAUGGGUAAAGAAGCACCGGCUAACUACGUG
Molecule: ribosomal RNA, 468 nt
Filed under: uncultured bacterium
Lineage: Bacteria
Description: partial 16S ribosomal RNA
Rfam family: Bacterial small subunit ribosomal RNA
Source: RNAcentral